Molecule: long non-coding RNA, 405 nt
Organism: Juglans regia (Persian walnut)
Lineage: Eukaryota; Viridiplantae; Streptophyta; Magnoliopsida; Fagales; Juglandaceae
Exons: 3
Source: RefSeq, a predicted model, not a curated record
UGCAAGGUAUAUCCUUAAGGGAUUGCCAACAAAGGGACUCCGCCGUGGAGGAACUCGGUCACGCACGACGACCCGCACACCACGUCCACGCAGAACUGGACCCUCUGUCGAGCUUAUGGACAGAUGAAAUCUGGGGUUCUUUACCCAACCUGAAAUCUUGAUUUUUCUGAUGGUGUCGAGAGAGGGCAGAUCUGAUAUUUAGUGGGAAUUUGUUCCAUUGUAGAAAGAAUUCAUGGCCGCCCGAGGAGUAUAUCAGCAGGAACACUUUGCAGUUGUUUGAUUUCGAUAGUGCUGCCCCUCCGGAACAAGCCUGGAGGAGGAGAUGAAAUAGUGUCACAUUUAUUGACGCAAUAAGGAUGGUAAGAGAUUGUUCUCUUUCUUAUUAGUUCACUGAUUGUGGAAACA